RNAcentral lists this ribosomal RNA (472 nucleotides) under uncultured bacterium. RNAcentral describes it as "bacterial SSU rRNA". It matches the Rfam family "Bacterial small subunit ribosomal RNA", at positions 328 to 793 of the family's 1533-position model. The record is from RNAcentral.
CUCUGUGACUCCUACGGGAGGCAGCAGUGGGGAAUAUGCACAAUGGGGGAAACCCUGAUGCAGCCAUGCCGCGUGUGUGAAGAAGGCCUUCGGGUUGUAAAGCACUUUCAGUAGGGAGGAAGGUAGUGUAGUUAACACCUGCAUUAUUUGACGUUACCUACAGAAGAAGCACCGGCUAACUCCGUGCCAGCAGCCGCGGUAAUACGGAGGGUGCGAGCGUUAAUCGGAAUUACUGGGCGUAAAGCGCAUGCAGGCGGCCUGUUAAGUCAGAUGUGAAAGCCCCGGGGCUUAACCUCGGAAUUGCAUUUGAAACUGGCAGGCUAGAGUCUUGUAGAGGGGGUAGAAUUUCAGGUGUAGCGGUGAAAUGCGUAGAGAUCUGAAGGAAUACCAGUGGCGAAGGCGGCCCCCUGGACAAAGACUGACGCUCAGAUGCGAAAGCGUGGGGAGCAAACAGGAUUAGAUACCCUGGUAG